This 459-nucleotide ribosomal RNA is filed under the name uncultured bacterium. RNAcentral's name for it is "partial 16S ribosomal RNA". It matches the Rfam family "Bacterial small subunit ribosomal RNA", at positions 338 to 795 of the family's 1533-position model. The record is from RNAcentral.
UCUACGGGUGGCAGCAGUGAGGAAUAUUGGUCAAUGGGCUAAGGCCUGAACCAGCCAAGUCGCGUGAGGGAAGACGGUCCUAUGGAUUGUAAACCUCUUUUGUCGGGGAGCAACGAGGCCACGUGUGGCCGAAGUGAGAGUACCCGAAGAAAAAGCAUCGGCUAACUCCGUGCCAGCAGCCGCGGUAAUACGGAGGAUGCGAGCGUUAUCCGGAUUUAUUGGGUUUAAAGGGUGCGUAGGCGGAGUGUCAAGUCAGCGGUAAAAUUUCGGGGCUCAACCCCGUCGUGCCGUUGAAACUGACACCCUUGAGUGAGUGAGAAGUAAGCGGAAUGCGUGGUGUAGCGGUGAAAUGCAUAGAUAUCACGCAGAACGCCGAUUGCGAAGGCAGCUUACCGGCGCUCAACUGACGCUGAGGCACGAAAGUGCGGGUAUCGAACAGGAUUAGAUACCCUUGUAGUC